Long non-coding RNA from Oreochromis aureus, 151 nucleotides. RefSeq lists it as uncharacterized. NCBI's taxonomy places the organism in Eukaryota, Metazoa, Chordata, Actinopteri, Cichliformes, Cichlidae. The transcript has 2 exons. The record is from RefSeq and is a predicted model, not a curated record.
GGUAGUUCUGUUUACCUCGUAAGCUGUGUUCCUGGUUGCCAUCCUUCCCGGUGAUGCUCCGAGUGUUAAGUUCAUGACUUGAAACUGCUGGCAACACUGAGCAAAUAAGUGGCAAUAAAACAGCUGGCGGUGACAAUCCAGCAAAGUGGAA